Molecule: RNA transcript, 1795 nt
Organism: Esox lucius (northern pike)
Lineage: Eukaryota; Metazoa; Chordata; Actinopteri; Esociformes; Esocidae
Gene name: lysophosphatidic acid receptor 6
Exons: 7
Source: RefSeq, a predicted model, not a curated record
CACGUAAAAGUUAGUUGCUUUUUCUGACAGUGGUCAGGCCUUUAUUGAAACUGUAACAGUGAGGCUGUGUGUGUAUUUGUGAAAGCAAUGAGUGUUUUCUCCUUAUAUACUUAGAAAAGGAACACUGUCAGUAAACUCGGAGAGGCCUGCCAAGUAAAACAGAUAUGGAUAUAGUGACACGAAAUACGACAGACAGAGAGAUGGAUAGAGAAAACGAGAAGAGAGGCUGAGAAAGUGGGCUGCUUUGCGGAUGGAUGAUUCGUAUUUCCUGAAAAGAACAGAGAACAAGACACAGGCCUUUUAUGUGGUUCAGGGAGGUGAGAAGAGAACAACCAAGGGAUCUCUUUACUCCUUAGCAUUCAAAAUCUACUCAGAAUCAACAAUCAGUCUACUUUUCCCUCUCUGGAACAGACGAGGUGGACGGGACCAUGAACACCACCAGUAACUGCACUCAACAUGACCUGAUUUUCGUGGGGGUCUAUGCCACCGUCUUCACUGUUGGACUCCUCCUUAACACCACGGCCCUGGUAAUCUUCUGCUGCUCCAAGUCUCGGUCUCACACUACAGUCUACAUGACCCACCUGGCCAUCGCAGACCUCCUCCUGGUCCUCACUCUACCUCUGAGGAUCUACCAUCAUCUGGGCUUCAAAGAUCUACCGCAGAUCCUGUGUGACGGCGUGGCACAGUUUUUGCUGAUCAACAUGUAUGGCAGCAUCUUUCUCCUCACCUGCAUAUGUUUUGACCGCUGCAUGGCUGUGUGUUUCCCCAUGUCAUCCCGGGUCCGAGAGGGACGUAAGAAAGCCCCGCUGGUCUGCCUUGGAGUUUGGGUGCUCACUAUCGGCGCUAGCCUCCCAGGUUACCUUUUAAGAAAAAAAAAUGCACAAUUGGAGGGAAACUGUUUUGGGAAAUUUCCACUUUAUGCCAAACAGCCCUUGGUGGUCGCCUCGAUUUUAAUCGUGGGCUUCGGAGUCCCCUUGGUGGUUAUGUUUGCCUGUUCCUGGGCAUUGAACCGGGCCAUCACCAGGAGCUCUGUGGCCCAGACGGACCUCAUCGACUCAGGGAAGAUCCAGAGGAUGAUUGCAAUAAGCCUGUUGAUAUUCCUCACCUGUUUCCUGCCCUACCAUGUGACUCUGACAGUCCUCUAUGUCCACGGAGAGGCAGAGUCUUGCCCCCUGCUAUUGACAUUCCGCUAUAGCCUGAUGGUGGCGUGUCUUAAUGCCAUGUUGGACCCACUGGCUUAUUACUUCACCAAGGAGACGUUCAGAAAUAAGGUUGAUUUGGAUGUGUUCAGGAGGAUGUUCCCACUCAACAGUCAGACCAGCUCUACGGGAAACAACCGAGGAUCCAAGGCUGCAGUCAACACUUAAAGAUUAUAUUUUACUUUCUUUUUCUUUUUCAGCUGGAAUCAAAUGUUUUAUUAUUUGCAUAAUCUAUAAGUAGAAUCACUGUCAUAACUUAUAUAGCCAUGAAAUUUCAAGUUUCAGAACAAAUGGUUUUGAUGACAUGUGGUACAUAUAAGGAACAUAUACACUGCAUGAACAAUUAUUAGACAAAUGGAUCCAAAACUCUUGAAAUAGCUAAACUAUCGAGGCGUGACCACCAGACACUCAAACGUUUUGUUGCAAAUAGUCAACCGGGGUGCAAAAAACGCAUGGAGAAGAAAAGACCCAAAUUAACUCCAAAAGACUUGAGAAGGUCAAUUAAACGUCAAGCUACCAGGAAAUGGUGUCAAGUGCUCAGAGACAUGGCCACGGUCAAGAAGGCCAUGUCUAAUUUAGUUGCCUAAUAAUUGUAC